RNAcentral lists this ribosomal RNA (436 nucleotides) under Bifidobacterium longum subsp. infantis. Its description in RNAcentral is "bacterial SSU rRNA". It matches the Rfam family "Bacterial small subunit ribosomal RNA", at positions 54 to 502 of the family's 1533-position model. Lineage: Bacteria; Bacillati; Actinomycetota; Actinomycetes; Bifidobacteriales; Bifidobacteriaceae. The record is from RNAcentral.
CAUGCAAGUCGAACGGGAUCCAUCAGGCUUUGCUUGGUGGUGAGAGUGGCGAACGGGUGAGUAAUGCGUGACCGACCUGCCCCAUACACCGGAAUAGCUCCUGGAAACGGGUGGUAAUGCCGGAUGCUCCAGUUGAUCGCAUGGUCUUCUGGGAAAGCUUUCGCGGUAUGGGAUGGGGUCGCGUCCUAUCAGCUUGACGGCGGGGUAACGGCCCACCGUGGCUUCGACGGGUAGCCGGCCUGAGAGGGCGACCGGCCACAUUGGGACUGAGAUACGGCCCAGACUCCUACGGGAGGCAGCAGUGGGGAAUAUUGCACAAUGGGCGCAAGCCUGAUGCAGCGACGCCGCGUGAGGGAUGGAGGCCUUCGGGUUGUAAACCUCUUUUAUCGGGGAGCAAGCGAGAGUGAGUUUACCCGUUGAAUAAGCACCGCUAACU